CUUUGUGUUUAGGGCUCGUCUAGUACUUCUAAUUUUUAUUUGUUUGUUUUGUUUGGUAUUCAGAGCUUCUUAGUAACUCUAUAGAUCUUGUUAAAAUGUUUUAUUUUGCACUGUAUUUAUCUGCUGCCCAAGCAUUGCAUUAAUCAAUUUUAUUUCCUACCUUAGAGCUAGAAGUAGUUAAUUAGAAAUGCUGUUAAUAUAUAUAUAUAUAUUUUUUCCAUCAUAUACACAUUAUAUUCCAGCUUUGUCAUUUACAAAAAUUUUGGCAUUCGAUUUUAUUUUGCGCUGUAUGUACUUUUGAUCUCCCUCCCUCCCAUUCUCUCUCUCUCUCUCUCUCUCUCUCCAUGGAUAUAUAUAUAUGUAUAUAUAUUUUUAUGUAAAUUUUAAUAUUAUAAACAGAUUGUGGCUGACAUACUGAAAAAUCUCUUGCAUGUAUUUCAGGGAACCAGUUAUCCUCAUCGACCCAUACCACCUGGGACUGGUCCUGCAGUCCCUGUUACAUCACAACUGGGCUUAGUACCUGGCCAUAAAAUGCCACAGAUUGUAGCUCUCACCACACAGCCGCUGGGAUUUAGGCCAGUGGAUUCAGGGUCGUUCAAAGACCCUGGAUAGGUUCCAUGCAACCACCUAGCGCUACUUGGAUAGCAUCAGCACCACCCACCAUUGUAGUUCUUCGAUUGCAACCACCGAGGCCUUGGAUUAUGGAAAAUUUUCAGUUCUUAUUAUCCAAUCAAGUACUACUUACGACCAGCGACUGGGCUGACUGCAAGCAACUUCUGACUAGGUACACCAAAGUGAAAUGAUCAAGACAAGAAGACAGAAUGUGAAAUUGAAAUAAAGAAGGCAUCCCUUCUAUUUUCUGAUUGCUAAAUUGGAAACUUUUUAAAACGAGUGGCCAGCUUCUUGUAGCGAUAUCCUUUCUUGAAAAUGCACACAAGAACAGCUUUUCUCGAUUGCUACUGCAGGAAUUUGGUUCUUCGUAAUUGCUUUACUGCAUUUCAAUUAAAUUCUAUUUUUGAAAGCUGUCAAGGAUGAUAGUUCUUAGGUCAUUGGACUGCU
Long non-coding RNA from Juglans microcarpa x Juglans regia, 1059 nucleotides. RefSeq lists it as uncharacterized. The record is from RefSeq and is a predicted model, not a curated record. The transcript is spliced from 2 exons. NCBI's taxonomy places the organism in Eukaryota, Viridiplantae, Streptophyta, Magnoliopsida, Fagales, Juglandaceae.